GUGAAUUUACCAUAGCUCACCAUCGCCACCUAAUGCCACAUUUUUAUACUGCACUUUAUAACAUUUUAUUUGCGGGUGUAUAACUGAGUCCAAUGGCUUUAAAUUUCCAUUUACUCCUUUGCAUGUCACUGCAAGUGUCUCUAAUAUUCUCCAGGUUCUUGCUUUCUAUUCAUCUUCUUCCCAAUCAGCAGAGGUGAUAAUUUAAUGUUGUUGCCCUAACAGGAGUUGUGAACAGAUCGCAGAAUCUAUGCACCCUGGAAGGACCUAAGUUACAAACCUCAGCAAUCCAGUUAAGGGGAGUUGACAGAUGCCAGAGCAGGGUGAUUGCUACUUAAUGCAAGGAGGAGAGGAGAGAGAGCCCUGCUUAAACCUGAAUACUGCCUGUCAACUAAUAAAAAAUGAAGUUUAAGAUUGGCAGCACCCAUUUGCAAAAUCUAUUACUUGCCCAUCUCCAGCCCAUUAAGAUAAAGAGCAGUGAACGACUGGGAUGGGAGUAGGGAUGACUACAGUAAGACAAAUGAGAGCAGGCAGAAAAGCGUUAUCCAUCACUACACAGAUAAUAGCAGCCCUUUCCUUGUAUCUAAUUUUGGCAACAUGCUAUCUGCUUUGUUUUCCACUUACUUCUCUUCUAACCUCAGACAACUUUUCUCGUUUGUUCAGUGCAGAAGGUUAAAAGCACCACCUUCCUAUUGCCUGCUUUCACACCAGCCAUGCCCCUGAUAGCAUCCCAAGUAUUUUUCAUUCCUCUUGGCUUAUGUUUGCUAGUGUGGUCCUCCUUUCAAAGUGAAUGGCUGCUCUCUGAAGCAAGGAGAAUUCACAACGGAAAGAAAAAGAAAUAAGCAGAUUCUCCCAACUUCUGGGACUGAGUGCAAGAUGAAAGAAGAGGAGUGUGGCUGUGCAUCUGAUCAGGCAUUUCGAUACCAUAAACAAUGUGAGCUGCUCUCUGCUCCUUAAUUCCCCUCGGGCCCCCAGUUAUUUAUGAUGAGAUGCAGUCUUUGUUGUAGCUGGUUAUUUCAAUUGGCCUUGUUUUAUUUUGCUCUUUACAACAUGCGGUUACUCACUUGGGGCAGACUGCAGGAUAGAAAUUCAAGUAAGGAAAUAAAUAAACUGAAGGGCUUAGCAGGAAGAGAGCUAUCAGUUUAUUCAAAGCAGCAAAAAAGACAAGUCUUUUCCUGAGUUCAGAACAAAGAGAAAGCUUCCGUAUGUUCUUCAUGAGAAAUAUUUUUU
This is a long non-coding RNA of Podarcis raffonei (Aeolian wall lizard), 1227 nucleotides long. RefSeq lists it as uncharacterized. NCBI's taxonomy places the organism in Eukaryota, Metazoa, Chordata, Lepidosauria, Squamata, Lacertidae. The record is from RefSeq and is a predicted model, not a curated record. The transcript has 2 exons.